This 348-nucleotide unclassified non-coding RNA is filed under the name Hevea brasiliensis (rubber tree). Lineage: Eukaryota; Viridiplantae; Streptophyta; Magnoliopsida; Malpighiales; Euphorbiaceae. The record is from RNAcentral.
AGCAAAAGAGUACAGAUACUCCGAAGGAUGGAGACACUGAUGAAAUUCUUAGCAGUGAUGCCUUAAAGCGUUUUACUAAGCUUACAUUACAAAAUAGAGAUAUACUGGAGGAAUCUUGGGUGGACAACAUUAUUUGGGAACCAGAUCAGCCCUUUCCAAAGCCAAAGCUCAUAUAUGAUCUUCAAGAUGAACAAAUGCUUUUUGAAGUUUUGCAUAACAGGGACGACCAACAGCUUAUGCUUCAUGCUGGAGCAAUGAUCACAACUGGUUUAGUGAAGCCCAGUAGUGGUGAUUCUGCCGAGUUAUAUGGUCUCAGUGGUUUAUCUGGGCGUUUCAAUAUUGCCAAUG